AGAUUGAACGCUGGCGGCAUGCCUAACACAUGCAAGUCGAACGGGAGUAGCAAUACUCUAGUGGCGGACGGGUGAGGAAUACGUAGGAAUUUGCCCUUAAGUGGGGGAUAACCCGGGGAAACCCGGAUUAAUACCGCAUGACCUCGAAAGAGCAAAGUGGGGGAUCGCAAGACCUCACGCUUUUGGAGAAGCCUACGUCGGAUUAGCUAGUUGGUGAGGUAAUGGCUCACCAAGGCGACGAUCCGUAACUGGUCUGAGAGGAUGAGUCAGUCACACCGGAACUGAGACACGGUCCGGACUCCUACGGGAGGCAGCAGUGGGAAUAUUGGACAUGGGCGCAAGCCUGAUCCAGCAAUGCGCGUGUGUGAAGAGCCGUUCGGGUUGUAAGCUACUUAAGGUUAGGAAAGAAAAACUCGACUACGUAACAC
This 428-nucleotide ribosomal RNA is filed under the name uncultured soil bacterium. RNAcentral describes it as "bacterial SSU rRNA". It matches the Rfam family "Bacterial small subunit ribosomal RNA", at positions 26 to 464 of the family's 1533-position model. The record is from RNAcentral.